Molecule: ribosomal RNA, 458 nt
Filed under: uncultured bacterium
Lineage: Bacteria
Description: partial 16S ribosomal RNA
Rfam family: Bacterial small subunit ribosomal RNA
Source: RNAcentral
AACGAACGCUGGCGGCAGGCCUUACACAUGCAAGUCGAACGUGAAAGUCCUUCGGGAUGAGUAAAGUGGCGCACGGGUGAGUAACGCGUGGGAACGUACCCUUCAGUACGGGAUAACAGCGGGAAACUGCUGCUAAUACCGUAUAUUCUCGAGAGAGGAAAGAUUUAUCGCUGAAGGAUCGGCCCGCGUCAGAUUAGCUAGUUGGUGGGGUAAUGGCCUACCAAGGCUACGAUCUGUAGCUGGUCUGAGAGGAUGAUCAGCCACACUGGAACUGAGACACGGUCCAGACUCCUACGGGAGGCAGCAGUGGGGAAUAUUGGACAAUGGGCGAAAACCUGAUCCAGCCAUGCCGCGUGAAUGAUGAAGGCCUUAGGGUUGUAAAGUUCUUUUGACGGGGAAGAUAAUGACGGCACCCGUAGAAUAAGCUCCGGCUAACUUCGUGCCAGCCGCCGCAGUAA